GUAAAGAGAGUAAGAGGGAGGAUGAAGAUAUGGAGUGAAUGAAGAGGAAGAGAGGUGCUUGUAUUUAUAGUUGAAAUCAUGCCGACAGACCGAGGAAAUUCCGACGGAAUUCUGACGCUAACGGCUAGUUCGUCGGAAUUUCCUCGGAAUUUUUAAAAUCCCCCAACGGCUCUCCAACGGCUCUCUAACGGCUGUAAUAUAUCCUCGGAAUUCAUCGGUUUUUUCCGAGGAAUACAUUUUUCUUCGGUAUUCCAUAAGAAUAUUCUGACGGAUUGAUAUUUCCUCGGAAUUCCGUCGGUAUAUUCCGAGGAAACCAAAUUUUGUGUUUCCUCGGAAUAUCCUCGGAAAUUCCUUGGGUUAUUCCGAGGAUUUCAUUUUUCGUCGGAAUGUCCGUCAGAAUCCCGCUGUUUUCUUGUAGUGGAUGAAACCUCUUUCAGAGUGGAUUCAAAGUUUGAUCAGCAACAGAAAUUGGGUUAGGAGGUAUUUAAGGCUGCUGGGUCUUCAGCUCAGGACCAGAUAUAUAUAUAAUUGACAGUAAACAAAAUUUAGUCUAACUAAAGUUUUGGUUUGAACUGUCCUUAAUGGUUUUCCAAGACACGAUGGGAAAGCGAAUAUUUUGUUUUUUUUGUGUGCAAGAGAAUGAAACUCAUAUGUUUAUAUAUCUAUUGUUGCAGGUCAUGUGAACUACUCAAUUUUCUAGAAGAACCUUUCUCCUAUCAACGUGAGUUUGUAUAUUGAGUGCUUAAUGGUUUGUUCGUUUGUAACAUAUUUCAGCAAGGUUGUGGAGUGCCACCGAAGGAAGUUCUGGAUGGCGCCAUUAACACUCACUUUGGCUCUUAGAAGGUUGGUGAGAAAGAUGACUGCUGAAGGUGCUUCUCUAUAAGGCUCAUGAUGAGUGGUUAGUAUAUAUUUGAAUUGAGCUAACUUAUCUUCUGCUUUUUGUGCACGAACUAAUUUAUUUUUGUUUUUUAUAUUUCACCUAUUAUAGAUUAGAAUUAAUUUGGGUCAAUUGGUUUUUAAGCCUAGAACAUAAUCUUUUUACACUUACAUAGUUCAAACGUUUGGCAACAUAAUUUACUUUUAACAUUAUACGGUUAUACAUAUAUGUUAUUAAAUAUAAAGUAACAUAUUUCAAAAUAUAUUUUUCUAAAAUUGAAAUUUUACCUGUAACCCCAAACUAUAACCGAAAACCCGAACCAGAAACUUAAAAAUAUCUGUAAUGUCGAAAACAUAUAUAAAAUACCCAAACAUACUUAAUAUACACAAAUCAUUAUGUGUUUCAAAAAAAAAUGUGUUUCAAAAAAAAAAUACACAAAUCAUUCCAGGUACUUUGCGUACCCGAUCGAGUAUGGGAUAGGACUCAAACUGGAACAUAGAUUCGCGGUCCAAAAAGAUAUUGAAUAGGUACUUUGUCCAUGACUGAGACCCGAACUGCAUCUGUAUUUUUGGAUUGGUUUCAAAUUUAGUUUUUCAGGUCCGACAAACUGUUGAAUCGUAUGAAAAAGUUAGAUAAAAACGUACAGAUAAUAUCUGAAAUAAUAAUGUAUAACAAUCUUAAAACAUUAAUUCAUAUAAAACUUUUUUAUAAUCCAAAAAAUUCGCGCUUUUAAGCGCGGAUCAAAAUCUAGUAUUUGAAUUAAAUAGUAUAAUGUUUUCUUUUUUGGUGCAGAGGGAGAGAAGUUUCUUUUAGAAAAGGAAGUUAUUUAUUUUUUCUCAAACUUUUAUGAGCAAUUGCUCAAAGUUGUUUCAGCUAAGAAACAUGCCGAAAGUUGGUUUGCUUCAUAAAUAAAUCGAGAAAGUUAUACUUUUUGGUCAGAAUCCCAGCUUGGCCAUCCAAAGGAAGCUAAGACAAUCCCACUUUCUAUUCUCUUCUUCGUCCCAAAGCAAUGUCAUUAAGAUUUUUAGUUUCUCACAGAAAUGUAGUAUAACGGUUACAUAUCCAGUUCCCAUUAGUACAAAUCUUAGUUAUAAUAUUAACCUAUCUUUAAUAUGUUCUGCAUCCUUCUAUAUAAAAGCCUAAUAUUUCCUCAAUAGCCAUUGGUGAUUUCUCCCAACACAUCUUUCUUAGAAAGAAAAGAAAAGUUAAGAAGAUAUUAUUUUGUUUUAUUUUAUCAAUGGCUCUUUUGUGUGUUAGCAAGAAGAAAAUUGUGGUGAAGCGGGCAUGGAAGAGGUCACACACAAGCUCAGAUCCAAAUCUAGUGAAAUCAAGAUUGCUGUAUCGGUCAGAGAUUCGACUUCUCGUCUCCUCCGUGUCAUCAGUCACCAUCUCAUCGUUCCUUUCAGGACAAGGUACCUUCAAAACACUAUCCCUCGAAUCCAUUUCAACAUAGGAUGUAGUCAUCAUCAUAGCCACUUCCUCGAAUUUUUCUCUCGUCCUUUUGGCAAAAGAAAGUGUCCUAGAAGGGAUAGUGAGAGCAUUUACAGACAAAUCUACCAAUACGAAAGCCAACGAUGGAGGCAGGGGGAGACCAAGAGUGAUGAGAAAGUUGUGGGGCGAAAAACAGGAAAAAAAAAGAAGAGGAGGGGCCGCAGGAGAUUGUUGAUUCGAUGGAAGAUGCUUGGAUGAGAGUGGUGGCUGCAUCACCGCACCUUAGGGUUGAUGAAAAAGCCGACCAGUUCAUCAAUAAGUUUAGAGAGGCGAUGAGACUGGAUAAGGAGAGAUCUUUACUUGAAUUCCAAGAAAGGUUGCUUCACGGAUGGAUUUGCAUAAAUUUUACGCUUUAGGAUUGAAAAAUAUAUUUGGAAAAAAAAUCCUUACUGGACUUUAGCUAAA
Molecule: long non-coding RNA, 2773 nt
Organism: Brassica rapa (field mustard)
Lineage: Eukaryota; Viridiplantae; Streptophyta; Magnoliopsida; Brassicales; Brassicaceae
Source: RefSeq, a predicted model, not a curated record